UCGGGAAUUUUGGGCAAUGGGGGGAACCCUGAUCCAGCAAUGCCGCGUGUGUGAAGAAGGCCUGAGGGUUGUAAAGCACUUUCAGUGGGGAGGAGGGUUUAUGGGUUAAGAGCUAGUAGACUGGACGUUACCCACAGAAGAAGCACCGGCUAACUCCGUGCCAGCAGCCGCGGUAAUACGGAGGGUGCGAGCGUUAAUCGGAAUUACUGGGCGUAAAGGGUGCGUAGGUGGUAUGGUAAGUUAUCUGUGAAAUCCCUGGGCUCAACCUGGGCAGGUCAGAUGAUACUGCUGUACUCGAGUAUGGGAGAGGGUAGUGGAAUUUCCGGUGUAGCGGUGAAAUGCGUAGAGAUCGGAAGGAACACCAGUGGCGAAGGCGGCUACCUGGCCUAAUACUGACACUGAGGCACGAAAGCGUGGGGAGCAAACAGGAUUAGAUACCCACGUAGUCCCUGAGCGGGCUGGCAAGGCGCAU
RNAcentral lists this ribosomal RNA (472 nucleotides) under uncultured bacterium. RNAcentral's name for it is "bacterial SSU rRNA". It matches the Rfam family "Bacterial small subunit ribosomal RNA", at positions 355 to 825 of the family's 1533-position model. The record is from RNAcentral.